UUCGAAGGAUUCGUAAAAGUACGCCCGUGGAGAUGCAGUAUGUAAAGUUUAGAACGGCAUUGAAAUUUGGUUCUCCAUCCCUUCAGCCGACCAUAAUUAAAAUUUAUUCACAAUAAACUGCCGACAGCCAACAAGACAGAAUUUGCGCUGACUAUGGUAACGGCGGCGCACAGCCAAUCUUUCCGACGCAUGUGAAAUUACACAAGCAAAGAUUAUAGUGAAUCGAGCUAACUGAAAUACCUAACUGAAAGUUGGAACUAUAACCAUUGGAACUGCAAGCUGGAAUACGUAUUGCCUUAUCUUACACGACUUUUCAUUGCACUGCAUUCGUUACAAGGAGCGUCGGUGAACGCAAACAUUUGGUAUCUAAUCGUUUCACGGUUUCACCCACCGAUUAUGAAAACGAUUCAGCCGAGCUCGACGCUUUUACUGACCAACCUCUUGCCAUUUGCCGGAACGGUUACUGUGUUUCAGUGCUUAUUGCUUACUCUGCCACACACGGAAACUGCUCUGAAUUUCUGUUUUUCCGUACAUUCGCGGCGAUGCGCACACUCUGUGCUGUAACUUGUGAGCAUCGUUGUAGACCUGACGCCGAAGAGGGCAAUACCCCGUGAAUCCCGACAGAAGAGUUUACGCCUCAUUCAACUUUCUACAAGCGACAGAAAGGUGAAUGCUUUUUCAUUGAACAACAACGCUCAAUCCAUCCACUUUCCUGUCUGCUACCUACCGUACAUGGACGGAAGCGAAGAUUUAAGAUGCAGAACAAAUCGGUACCUGCAGUGCAUGCACCAAGCCAUUCUCCCGAAAUAAGGAUUGCAAACGGGCGGAUAUUAGUUUAAGCCGGUCAUGGCAUGCAGCCAUGCACCACUCCUAAAAUUCAGUUCAACUGCACACGUAUUAGCAACUAACAAGUAUCUGUAAUCAAAAUCGAUGAAGCAUAGAUCGAUCAUAUCACGCAACAUGUUAUUCAGUUCAUGUGUGAUCGUGGCAAUUGGUACAAAACCCAGUAAACCUGGUGCAGUUGGCAAAUUGUUGCAGUUUUCAUUGCCGUCUGCUUCCUUCGGAUAACGUAUCACACUUCCAAGUGGUGCCUUGUUAAGUUAAUUAAGCAAACUGUAACAAAAUGUCUCGUGUUGUUUCAUACCUGUUUUCGGCUCUGCUGAUAGCGGGAUUUGCUGCUGCAACCUCCGAACCCCGGAUUCCGGCAGAACCAAGCAAAUCGAUCAGGAAGCGACCAAGGCUGUCAAUGCGGUUUCCGAAGAAUUAAGAAGCAAAGUUAAGAUCAGCAGCGGUACCAUUCUCGUUCCAGUGUCAUACACGGUACAAAUCGGCGUGGAAAACAGAUAUUUUGUUAAGAUCCGACUUGGAGCUGGUGAAAGCGCAAAGUACAUCCACGCGAAGAUCUACAAAUUUCUAAUGCAAAAGGACAAAUACUCCUUGGAGAAUACCAAGGAAGCUAGCGUAGCGGAUCCCAUUGUCUACUUUGAAUAAACAACGGUCUGACGAUUACCAUGAUUCUAAUAAGUAAUACAGCCGAAUUUCUCUGAUACUACCGUAUAUUUCCGAGAUACUGUACCAGUAUGCAACCAAAGGAACUGAGGUUAUAAAGACGGGUUAAGCGACUCUUCGACGGUUUUUUAUCUGUACUAACUACUCAGGUUCGAAGAAAUAUUUA
This is a long non-coding RNA of Paramacrobiotus metropolitanus, 1675 nucleotides long. RefSeq lists it as uncharacterized. Lineage: Eukaryota; Metazoa; Tardigrada; Eutardigrada; Parachela; Macrobiotidae. The record is from RefSeq and is a predicted model, not a curated record. The transcript has 6 exons.